UAGCUAGUUGGUGAGGUAUCGGCCCACCAAGGCUACGAUUGGUAGCUGGACUGAGAGGUUGAACGGCCACAUUGGGACUGUGACACGGCCCAGACUCGUACGGGAGGCAGCAGUGGGGGAUAUUGCACAAUGGGGGAAACCGUGAUGCAGCGACGCCGCGUGGAGGAAGAAGGUUUUCGGAUUGUAAACUCCUGUUGUUAGGGACGAAUCAUGACGGUACCUAACAAGAAAGCACCGUCUAAUUACUUGCCAGCAGCCGCGGUAAAACGUAGGGUGCUAGCGUUGUCAUGAAUUACUGGGUGUAAAGGGAGCGCAGGCGGACCGGCAAGUUGGAAGUGAAAACCAUGGGCUCAACCCAUGAAUUGCUUUCAAAACUGCUGGCCUUGAGUAGUGCAGAGGUAGGUGGAAUUCCCGGUGUAGCGGUGGAAUGCGUAGAUAUCGGGAGGAACACCAGUGGCGAAGGCGACCUACUGGGCACCAACUGACGCUGAGGCUCGAAAGCAUGGGUAGCAAACAGGAUUAGAUACCCUGGUAGUCCAUGCCGUAAACGAUGAUUACUAGGUGUUGGAGGAUCGACCCCUUCAGUGCCGCAGUUAACACAAUAAGUAAUCCACCUGGGGAGUACGACCGCAAGGUUGAAACUCAAAGGAAUUGACGGGGGCCCGCACAAGCAGUGGAGUAUGUGGUUUAAUUCGAAGCAACACGAAGAACCUUACCAGGUCUUGACAUCCGAUGCAUAGUGCAGAGAUGCAUGAAGUCCUACGGGACAUCGAGACAGGUGGUGCAUGGUUGUCGUCAGCUCGUGUCGUGAGAUGUUGGGUUAAGUCCCCCAACGAGUGCAACCCUUAUUCCCAGUUAGUACGCAAGAGGAGUCUGCCGAGACUCCCGUUGACAAAACGGAGGAAGGUGGGGAUGACGUCAAAUCAUCAUGCCCUUUCUGACGUGGGAUACACACGUACUACAAUGGCGUUUAACAAAGAGAAGCAAGACCGAGAGGGGGAGCAAAAGUCAGAAACAACGUCUCAGUUCAGAUUGCAGGCUGCAACUCGCCUGCAUGAAGUCGGAAUUGCUAGCAAUCGCGGAUCAGCAUGCCGCG
This 1096-nucleotide ribosomal RNA is filed under the name uncultured bacterium. RNAcentral's name for it is "bacterial SSU rRNA". It matches the Rfam family "Bacterial small subunit ribosomal RNA", at positions 242 to 1361 of the family's 1533-position model. The record is from RNAcentral.